This 407-nucleotide unclassified non-coding RNA is filed under the name Hevea brasiliensis (rubber tree). Lineage: Eukaryota; Viridiplantae; Streptophyta; Magnoliopsida; Malpighiales; Euphorbiaceae. The record is from RNAcentral.
AAAUAUUGGAGCUUGAUCACUUUGCAUCUUUUACAGAUUAUAGUGGUGAUCCCAACAUGGCUAAGAAACUUAACCAUAAUGCAAGCGAACGUCAUCGUCGCAAGAAGAUGAACUGCCUCUAUUCUUCCCUCCGAUUGCUACUUCCGGCAGCCAAUGAAACGAAGAAACUCAGCAGAGCUGCCACAGUUUCUUGGGUGCUAAAGUACAUUCCAGAACUACAACAGCAAGUGGAGAGGCUGGUUCAAAGGAAAGAGGAGCUAUUCUCCAAGCUAUCUAAGCAAGAUCAAACUCAGCAAAUAAAGCCUAAAAAAGGCAUCUCUAGCAGCUUUCUAUCAGCAGUAUCAGCUACUCAGAUCAGUGACUCAGAAGUUGUGAUUCAGAUUUCUACUUACGGCGUCCGUACAAGU